AUUGAACGCUGGCGGCAGGCCUAACACAUGCAAGUCGAGCGGUUGAAGGGAGCUUGCUCCUGGAUUCAGCGGCGGACGGGUGAGUAAUGCCUAGGAAUCUGCCUGGUAGUGGGGGAUAACGUCCGGAAACGGGCGCUAAUACCGCAUACGUCCUGAGGGAGAAAGUGGGGGAUCUUCGGACCUCACGCUAUCAGAUGAGCCUAGGUCGGAUUAGCUAGUUGGUGGGGUAAAGGCCUACCAAGGCGACGAUCCGUAACUGGUCUGAGAGGAUGAUCAGCCACACUGGAACUGAGACACGGUCCAGACUCCUACGGGAGGCAGCAGUGGGGAAUAUUGGACAAUGGGCGAAAGCCUGAUCCAGCCAUGCCGCGUGUGUGAAGAAGGUCUUCGGAUUGUAAAGCACUUUAAGUUGGGAGGAAGGGCAGUAAGUUAAUACCUUGCUGUUUUGACGUUACCAACAGAAUAAGCACCGGCUAACUUCGUG
Molecule: ribosomal RNA, 484 nt
Filed under: uncultured bacterium
Lineage: Bacteria
Description: partial 16S ribosomal RNA
Rfam family: Bacterial small subunit ribosomal RNA
Source: RNAcentral